ACUUUCAGCAACGGAUCNCNNGGCUCNCGCAUCGAUGAAGAACGCAGCGAAAUGCGAUAAGUAAUGUGAAUUGCAGAAUUCAGUGAAUCAUCGAAUCUUUGAACGCACCUUGCGCUCCUUGGUAUUCCGAGGAGCAUGCCUGUUUGAGUGUCAU
This 154-nucleotide ribosomal RNA is filed under the name Sarcodon aff. imbricatus VPC-2007. Its description in RNAcentral is "5.8S ribosomal RNA". It matches the Rfam family "5.8S ribosomal RNA". From Rfam's summary of the family: 5.8S ribosomal RNA (5.8S rRNA) is a component of the large subunit of the eukaryotic ribosome. Lineage: Eukaryota; Fungi; Basidiomycota; Agaricomycetes; Thelephorales; Thelephoraceae. The record is from RNAcentral.